GCCUGCGUCCACACGGUAAUUUCGUCGAACAUCUUUCGUGCAACAACUUGGGAAACGUUAAACGUGGCAGUUAGGAUGUGGUUUUUACCCAUUGCGUGGUGAGGCGUUGGUGGCGGCCGCGGCCGCGCUCGAUGGGGCGUCGGCCGGUGAGGAGCUCCACGAGGAGGACGCCGAAGGAGUAGACGUCGCUGCGGUCGUGUUGUCAGGCGCUAGCCGUGCGAAGCCGAAAUCGGCCACCUUUGCUCUAAGUUGAUCAGUUAGGAGAAUGUUGGAUGACUUGAUGUCACGGUGGAUGAUUGGAUGGUCUGCAUGCCCAAUUGCACAUUGUUGUGAAAUGCCAUCAGAAAUUAGAACGCUAGCAAUUUGGUAUCAUUUUAGGUACCGAUAGUAGAUAAAUUCUGUGGGUUCUAAUUUUAAUGUGUACAACUUCUCAAAAAAAAUUCUCACCUUGAAUGUGUGCUUAUGUAAUUAAAUAUGGCGAUGACAUGAUUUAUAGGUGUUCAGGGCUUUAACUAUGCAACGCUUUUGAGCUCACAAAGGUGUCAAACAUGAAUGCCAACAUAUUCAUGCUAUACGCAUAGUGCUACUGUUGGUUUAUUCAGGACAAUUGCAGAUUUCCUCUAGGGAAGUCAGCUUCUCAAAAAAAAAGAAGACGUGCUUGUUGAUAAGAGAGAGCUAUGCCUAUGCUAAUUGCAAUAGAGACUUGUUUCAGUUAUAUCAUGUAAAAAUUGUGUGGUCUA
Molecule: long non-coding RNA, 740 nt
Organism: Oryza sativa Japonica Group (Japanese rice)
Lineage: Eukaryota; Viridiplantae; Streptophyta; Magnoliopsida; Poales; Poaceae
Source: RefSeq, a predicted model, not a curated record